Molecule: non-coding RNA, 2276 nt
Organism: Xyrichtys novacula (pearly razorfish)
Lineage: Eukaryota; Metazoa; Chordata; Actinopteri; Labriformes; Labridae
Source: the annotation of a GenBank genome assembly
GUUUAAGGUUUUUGGCGUUAGGGUUAAAAUCACUGUCCAAAACCUUUGUAGGAACAUGUUUCCAACCUUUUGGAGUUAGUUAGACCAAAAAAAAAAAAAAAAAAAAAAAAAAUGUUUUGGGUGUUCAGGACUCCUGAAGGUUAUACAGGUAUUAUAUUAGGUUAUGGGGAUUGGGUAACGUUUAAGGUUUUUGGCGUUAGGGUUAAAAUCACUGUCCAAAAUCUUUGUAGGAACUCUUUUCCAACCUUUUGGAGUUAGUUAGACCAAAAAAAAAAAAGAAAAAUGAAAAAAAAAAAUAUUUGGGGUUUUCGGGCUUCCUGAAUGUAAUACCCGGGUAUUAGGUUUUGUGGCUAGGGUAAGGUUUAAGGUUUUUGGCAUUAGGGUUAAAAUCACUGUCCAAAACCUUUGUAGGAACUCUUUUCCAACCUUUUGGAGUUAGUUAGACCAAAAAAAUAUGAAAAAUUAAAAAACAAUGUUUGGGGUUUUCGGGGUUCCUGAAUGUAAUACCCGGGUAUUAGAUUUUGAGGCUAGGGUAAGGAUUAAGUUUUUUGGCAUUAGGGUUAAAAUCACUGUCCAAAACCUUUUUAGGAACAUGUUUCAGACCUUUUGGAGUUGGUUACACCAAAAAAAAUGUAAAAUGAAAAAAAAAUGUUUGGGGUUUUCGGGCUUCCUGAAUGUAAUACCCGGGUAUUAGAUUUUAAGGCUAGGGUAAGGUUUAAGUUUUAUGGCGUUAGGGUUAAAAUCACUGUCCAAAACCUUUGUAGGAACUCUUUCCCAACCUUUUGGAGUUAGUUAGACCAAAAAAAAAAAAUGAAAAAUGAAAAAAAAAUAUUUGGGGUGUUCAGGCUUCCUAAAAGUAAUACCCAGGUAUUAGGUUAUGGGGCUAUGGUAAGGUUAAAGUUUUUGGCAUUAGUGUUAAAAUCACUGUCCAAAACCUUUGUAGGAACUCUUUCCCAACCUUUUGGAGUUAGUUAGACCAAAAAAAAUGAAAAAUGAAAAAAAAAUGUUGGGGGUUUUCGGGCUUCCUGAAGGUAAUACCCAGGUAUUAGGUUAUGGGGCUAUGGUAAGGUUUAAGGUUUUUGGUGUUAGGGUUAAAAUCACUGUCCAAAACCUUUUUAGGAACUCUUUUCCAACCUUUUGGAGUUACUUAGACCAAAAAAAAUGAAAAAUGAAAAAAAAAUAUUUGGGGUGUUCGGGCUUCCUGAAGGUAAUACCCAGGUAUUAGGUUAUGGGGCUAUGGUAAGGUUUAAGGUUUAUGGCAUUAGGGUUAAAAUCACUGUCCAAAACCUUUGUAGGAACUCUUUUCCAACCUUUUGGAGUUACUUAGACCAAAAAAAAUGAAAAAUGAAAAAAAAAAUAUUUGGGGUUUUCGGGCUUCCUAAAAGUAAUACCCAGGUAUUAGGUUAUGGGGCUAUGAUAUGGUUUAAGGUUUUUGGCAUUAGGUUUAAAAUCACUGUCCAAAACCUUUGUAGGAACUCUUUUCCAACCUUUUGGAGUUAGUUAGACCAAAAAAAAUGAAAAAUGAAAAAAAAAAUAUUUGGGGUUUUCGGGCUUCCUAAAAGUAAUACCCAGGUAUUAGGUUAUGGGGCUAUGAUAUGGUUUAAGGUUUUUGGCAUUAGGUUUAAAAUCACUGUCCAAAACCUUUGUAGGCACUCUUUUCCAACCUUUUGGAGUUACUUAGACCAAAAAAAAAUGAAAAAUGAAAAAAAAAUGUUUGGGGUUUUCGGGCUUCCUGAAUGUAAUACCCGGGUAUUAGAUUUUAAGGCUAUGGUAAGGUUAAAGUUUUUGGCAUUAGGGUUAAAAUCACUGUCCAAAACCUUUGUAGGAACUCUUUCCCAACCUUUUGGAGUUAGUUAGACCAAAAAAAAUGAAAAAUGAAAAAAAAAUGUUGGGGGUUUUCGGGCUUCCUGAAGGUAAUACCCAGGUAUUAGGUUAUGGGGCUAUGGUAAGGUUUAAGGUUUUUGGUGUUAGGGUUAAAAUCACUGUCCAAAACCUUUUUAGGAACAUGUUUCAGACCUUUUGGAGUUAGUUAGACCAAAAAAAAAAAGGAAAAAAAAAAGUGUUUUGGGUGUUCAGGACUCCUGAAGGUUAUACAGGUAUUAUAUUAGGUUAUGGGGCUUGGGUAAGGUUUAAGGUUUUUGGCGUUAGGGUUAAAAUCACUGUCCAAAACCUUUGUAGGAACUCUUUUCCAACCUUUUGGAGUUACUUAGACCAAAAAAAUAUUGAAAAAUGAAAAAAAAAUAUUUGGGGUGUUCAGGCUUCCUAAAACUAAUACC